UAGGAGUUUGGUAUCCUCGGCGUCAGGAGUGAACGACGUGCGGCGUGCUUAACACAUAGCAAGUCGAACGGAAAGGACUCCUGCUUGUCAGGGGGUACUCGAGUGGCGAACGGGUGAGUAACACGUGGGUGAUCUGCCCUGCACUUCGGGAUAAGCCUGGGAAACUGGGUCUAAUACCGGAUAGGACGAUGGUUUGGAUGCCAUUGUGGAAAGUUUUCGGUGUGGGAUGAGCUCGCGGCCUAUCAGCUUGUUGGUGGGGUAAUGGCCUACCAAGGCGUCGACGGGUAGCCGGCCUGAGAGGGUGUACGGCCACAUUGGGACUGAGAUACGGCCCAGACUCCUACGGGAGGCAGCAGUGGGGAAUAUUGCACAAUGGGCGCAAGCCUGACGCAGCGACGCCGCGUGGGGGAUGACGGCCUUCGGGUUGUAAACUCCUUUCGUCAGGGACGAAGCGAAAGUGACGGUACCUGGAUAAGAAGCACCGGCUAACUACGUG
This 496-nucleotide ribosomal RNA is filed under the name uncultured Corynebacterium sp. RNAcentral's name for it is "bacterial SSU rRNA". It matches the Rfam family "Bacterial small subunit ribosomal RNA", at positions 1 to 507 of the family's 1533-position model. The record is from RNAcentral. Lineage: Bacteria; Bacillati; Actinomycetota; Actinomycetes; Mycobacteriales; Corynebacteriaceae.